Non-coding RNA from Ictidomys tridecemlineatus (thirteen-lined ground squirrel), 72 nucleotides. The record is from Rfam. NCBI's taxonomy places the organism in Eukaryota, Metazoa, Chordata, Mammalia, Rodentia, Sciuridae.
GGGGGUGUGGCUCAGUGGUAGAGCACUCCUCUAGCACUUGCAAAGCCCUGGGUUCAAUCCUCAGCACCCCAU